This is a long non-coding RNA of Callithrix jacchus (white-tufted-ear marmoset), 1306 nucleotides long. RefSeq lists it as uncharacterized. The record is from RefSeq and is a predicted model, not a curated record. NCBI's taxonomy places the organism in Eukaryota, Metazoa, Chordata, Mammalia, Primates, Cebidae.
UUAUGAUGUACCAAACAGGCAAAACAGCAGCAAGUAGAACAGGAUGCAGAAGGAGGUCACCGCCCUGACACCCAGUGCCGUGAAGAUCAAGAUCAUCACACCCUCAAGAGUGCAAGUACUCUGUGUGGAUUGGAGGCUCCAUCCUGGCCUCACUGUACACCUUCCAGCAGACGUGGAUUAGCGAGCAGGAGUACCAAGUCAGGCUCCUCCAUCAACUACUGCAAAUGCUUCUAAAUGGACUGUGAGCAGAUGCAUAGCAUUUGCUGUAUGGGUUAACUCAGAAGCAUAAAUUUGCCCCUGGCAAAUGCGUAGACUUCAUGCUAGCCUCACAAAAUAGGAAUAAGCCUUUGAAAAUAAAUUGUCCUUGAAGCCUGUAUCUGAUGUCAGAACUGGACUGUAGAAUGUGUUGCUGAUUUUGACCUUGUAUUGAAGGACAACUCUGUGAAGUGCCUACUGAACAGAUAACAAAACUGAACUCGAGGAAAUGAGCGUCAAAGCCACUAAUGCGAGUGACACAUAUCUGAGACAGGCCUCUUCAAGUCUUCCUUAUAAAUGAGAAACUGAAGACUUUUCCAACAGAAAUACUUCCGACUUCUCCAGAAGCUUUAAUUUUGCCUAAUAAGGUAAAAUGGAAUGGCGGGCCAGGUGUGUUUCUGAGAGUUCCAUUGUAUCUGAAGAUGACACUUGAUUCCUGAGAAUGGAUUGUGUUCUUUGUUGACAUCUGGAAAAUCGCUUUCUUCAUUAUAGGACGGGAGCAUGGUUAAGGACACAGUCUGAAGCCAGACAGCCAGGUGCCAUCCCAGCUGUGCCACAUAUGAGCUGCAUAAUUGCAAGGAAGUCACUUAAAAUAUUUUAGUGUCCUAACCUGUAAAUGGGCAUAUGGUAUUACUUAUAUCUGGACCCUUGGAAAUAUUGCAUAAAUAUUAGCUUAUUAUUAAUGGUAGCACUUAUUCCCAACACAUGGGUUGUACUGUGUUUUUAUAUUCCUGCUCUAGCUGAUAGAAAAGUCAGUUGGGUUUGUAAUUUUGACUUCCUCUAUUAACAUUUCUAAAGCCAGUUCAUCCAAAUGCUUCGGCAUGUGUUUUUUUAAAGGAGAUCAUGAAGGAGCCAAUAUUUAGAACAUUGGUUUGAUAUUGCGAUUGAUUUCAGAAAAUGUUUUGAGUCCUGCAAUGGAAGUCAAGUUUAAAAAAAAGACACUCAACAAACAUCAGGAUUUGUGAAAACCAGGACCAUAUCUCCAGAACACUUUUGAAGCUUUUUUCCACUCACUCAGGAAAAGACAUACCAAGUUCAAUGGUUUCUAGUC